CUGAACCAGCAACUUGGAAGAAGGUAUAGCAAUAGCUAAUUGUAUUAGCAAAUAGUUUUUACAAUAUCGAUUUAAUCGACUAAAAUUCUAGGUAGAUUUAUGAUGAUGACAUUAUCUAUCUAUGUGUCUUGACCAAAUUUCGUGCCAGCAGUCGCGGUAAGACGUAAGAGACUAGUGUUAUUCAUCUUUAAUAGGUUUAAAGCGUACCUAGACGGUAAUUAAAGCCUAUAUCAGGAACUUGUUUACUAGAGUUAAAUGUAAGGGUGUAUUAAAGUACUGUUGAGUGUAGAGAUGAAAUUCGUUGAUACCAAAUAAUUGGCACAGGUAUAGGCGAAAGCAUCACUUUAUGUAAUAACUGACGUUGACGGACGAAGGCUUUGUGUCGCGAACAGGAUUAGAUACCCCAGUAGUCUUAGCAGAAAACUAUGAGUGUCAUAGGUUAGAUUUUAUUUGGUCUAUAAAUGAAAGUGUAAGCACUCCACCUCAAGAGUAAUUUGGCAACAUUGGAACUGAAAUCAUUAGACCGUUUCUGAAACCAGUAGUGAAGUAUGUUGUUUAAUUUGAUAAUCCGCAAAGAACCUUACCACAAUUUGAAUAUAAAUGAUUUAUUUUUACAAGCGUUGCACGGCUGUCUUCAGUUAAUGUCGUGAGAUAUUGGUUUAUUCCAUUAAAUUAACGUAAACCCGUACUUUAUUUUUAUAUAAAGUUGUUCAUUCGCUAUAAUGGAUGUGAUAACAGGGACUAAGACAAGUCAUCAUGGCCUAAAUAUUGUGG
This 774-nucleotide ribosomal RNA is filed under the name Fuscopannaria confusa. Its description in RNAcentral is "SSU rRNA". It matches the Rfam family "Bacterial small subunit ribosomal RNA", at positions 367 to 1212 of the family's 1533-position model. The record is from RNAcentral. Lineage: Eukaryota; Fungi; Ascomycota; Lecanoromycetes; Peltigerales; Pannariaceae.